GCGGCCGCCAUGUGGUGCCUGCACUGCAACUCGGAGAGGACCCAGUCCCUUCUGGAGCUAGAGCUUGACAGCGGAUGAGGAAAGAAUGGCUAGAAAAUGAAAAUGACGAAUUCAAGCUCUGCAGAAUAUAGACCUGGUCCUCUGGUAAAUGCAUGGACCCUCUUUCCCCUCCCUGGCAUUGCUGGGGAGCAGCUUGUUAGAAUGCAGCCUGAGGCAGAGGCAGGGAGGAGCAGGGGGCCAAGGAGGAGCCGGAGAGACAAAACCUGCAGGCCCCAGCUGUGCGCACUCCAGUGGCAGCAUUGGGUUCCCUGUACAGCCACCGUGGAUGGCUACAGAGGUGCACUACCAUCAGCAGAGUGGAAGGAGAAUCCUUGGAAGCUCUACCCAGUGCCUACAAUCUCAAAAACAUGUUCGCCAGCCCCAGGAAGUCAUCUGG
RNAcentral lists this long non-coding RNA (436 nucleotides) under Homo sapiens (human). RNAcentral describes it as "non-protein coding lnc-RPL32-2:1". The record is from RNAcentral. Lineage: Eukaryota; Metazoa; Chordata; Mammalia; Primates; Hominidae.